AUGGAAUACAAAAUUUUAAAUUGGAAUGUCCGGGGCUUAAACAGCCCGACCAAGAGAAGAGCAACUCUAAUGUUUGUGGCUGAGGUUGGAUGCAACAUAAUCUGCCUCCAAGAGGUGAAAUAAGCUGUGAUUACUACUGCUAUUGUUGCUGAAAUCUUGGGCACCCAGUUCAGAGAGAACUUCAUUUACAAGCCUGCUAUGGGCACUUGGGGAGGAAUCCUCAUUGCUUGCUCCUCUGAUUUUGAGAUCACCCAUGAACCACUGGCAGAUGGUGUUGGGGAUCGUUGCAGAAAUUAA
This 297-nucleotide ribosomal RNA is filed under the name Triticum aestivum (bread wheat). RNAcentral describes it as "partial small subunit ribosomal RNA". Lineage: Eukaryota; Viridiplantae; Streptophyta; Magnoliopsida; Poales; Poaceae. The record is from RNAcentral.